AAGCCAUGAUGUGGACAUUGUCUUUGAAGAUCCUUAAACCUCUCCUAAGUUUGAUAUAAUGUUUCAUCUUCCCUCAACCUAAAGAUAGUAAUAUCAUUCCUUAGCUU
This is a small nucleolar RNA of Mangifera indica (mango), 107 nucleotides long. Lineage: Eukaryota; Viridiplantae; Streptophyta; Magnoliopsida; Sapindales; Anacardiaceae. The record is from RefSeq and is a predicted model, not a curated record.